UGGAAACGACUGCUAAUACCGCAUAAGCCCACGGCUCGGCAUCGAGCAGAGGGAAAAGGAGCAAUCCGCUUUGAGAUGGCCUCGCGUCCGAUUAGCUAGUUGGUGAGGUAACGGCCCACCAAGGCGACGAUCGGUAGCCGGACUGAGAGGUUGAACGGCCACAUUGGGACUGAGACACGGCCCAGACUCCUACGGGAGGCAGCAGUGGGGAAUAUUGCACAAUGGGGGAAACCCUGAUGCAGCGACGCCGCGUGGAGGGAGAAGGUCUUCGGAUUGUAAACUCCUGUUGUUGAGGAAGAUAAUGACGGUACUCAACAAGGAAGUGACGGCUAACUACGUGCCAGCAGCCGCGGUAAAACGUAGGUCACAAGCGUUGUCCGGAAUUACUGGGUGUAAAGGGAGCGCAGGCGGGAGAACAAGUUGGAAGUGAAAUCCAUGGGCUCAACCCAUGAACUGCUUUCAAAACUGUUUUUCUUGAGUAGUGCAGAGGUAGGCGGAAUUCCCGGUGUAGCGGUGGAAUGCGUAGAUAUCGGGAGGGACACCAGUGGCGAAGGCGGCCUACUGGGCACCAACUGACGCUGAGGCUCGAAAGUGUGGGUAGCAAACAGGAUUAGAUACCCUGGU
RNAcentral lists this ribosomal RNA (624 nucleotides) under uncultured bacterium. RNAcentral describes it as "bacterial SSU rRNA". It matches the Rfam family "Bacterial small subunit ribosomal RNA", at positions 151 to 791 of the family's 1533-position model. The record is from RNAcentral.